UGCAAGUCGAACGAGAGGAUGAGGAAGCUUGCUUCUUCAGAAUCGAGUGGCAAACGGGUGAGUAACGCGUAAACAACCUGCCCCCGGGAUGGGGACAACAGCUGGAAACGGCUGCUAAUACCGAAUACGAUCAUACUGCCGCAUGGCAGCAUGAUGAAAGGAUGGCCUCUUAAAAAAGCUAUCGCACGGGGAGGGGUUUGCGUCUGAUUAGCUGGUUGGAGGGGUAACGGCCCACCAAGGCGAUGAUCAGUAGCCGGUCUGAGAGGACGAACGGCCACAUUGGAACUGAGACACGGUCCAGACUCCUACGGGAGGCAGCAGUGGGGAAUCUUCCGCAAUGGGCGAAAGCCUGACGGAGCAACGCCGCGUGAGUGAAGACGGCCUUCGGGUUGUAAAGCUCUGUUAUAUGGGACGAACGGCUGCGGGGCCAAUACCCCCGCAGCGUGACGGUACUGUAAGAGAAAGCCACGGCUAACUACGUGCCAGCAGCCGCGGUAAUACGUAGGUGGCAAGCGUUGUCCGGAAUUAUUGGGCGUAAAGGGCGUGCAGGCGGCUGAUCAAGUCUGUCUUAAAAGUGCGGGGCUUAACCCCGUGAUGGGACGGAAACUGAUUGGCUAGAGUGUCGGAGA
This 629-nucleotide ribosomal RNA is filed under the name uncultured Megasphaera sp. RNAcentral's name for it is "bacterial SSU rRNA". It matches the Rfam family "Bacterial small subunit ribosomal RNA", at positions 56 to 655 of the family's 1533-position model. Lineage: Bacteria; Bacillati; Bacillota; Negativicutes; Veillonellales; Veillonellaceae. The record is from RNAcentral.